CAGAGCCUGCAGGGCAAAGAGGGGGCCAGGUUGUGACUCGGGCAGGAACAUGAGCAUCCGCCCUGCAAGGCGUGAGUCUGCUUUGGUUCCGUACUCCCGGCUUCCUGAAGCCUCCCUCUCCCUGCUUGUCAGGUGUGAACGACCAUCGGAACCCUGCCUUUCCAGGCCUGAGAAAGACUAAAGGCUGUAAGGUGGAAACAACCUUUCGGGGCUGGCUCUGCCUGGUACAGACAAAAGGGAACCUAAUCGAGGCUUCUGGGAUCACGUGACUGUGUUCAUGCCUCUCUUACAGUACAGCGUCCAGAAUAAGACAAGCGCUGUAAGGGAAAACACUCCUGUCCUAGACUGCUGUCCUGCAUGCAAGAGUCACAGCGGUGACUCAUUGAGUACACUCGGAACCCAGGCACCCUCUGUCCUUGCUCUGCAAUCUGACGACUGUGCAACUCCGGCCCCGUAUUAAACAUGUGAGUGCCUCAGUUUUCACAUCUGCAAAAGGGGUUCGUUCUUUCUGUCUCCUGUAGGUAAUGAGAUGUGUGAGUUAAAAAAGAGCCUGGCACUCCACAACUAUCAGCUAUCAGCACAACCCCCAGAAGCCCAGCCCCAGCUUCCAGGAGCUCUCUCUGCACACGCUGCAGUAUAGAGCUAUGUUUUACUUUUGUUUUGUUCUAUCAAAGAGGCCGGGACGAAGCAUACCAGGGAGAUGUCAAAGGCCUCUUUAUAAUUAUCUUUUCAUCUUCUCUCUGGAUUUUUUUUUUUGAGGGGGAGGGGGAGGGGCCUCACCUUUCUCCAAGUUAAUCUUAAAGCCUGACUGGAUGAAAACACUCCCUUAAUCACAACAAAACAACACACAAAACCUCUGCUGCUGCCCCCUGCAACGUGAGUGAGACAAAGUCUGCCCCCCCUCGGCUGUUUCAGGCAGUUCCCUGUGCUCCCACCCCAUGACCCAGGCUCUCACCCCAACCUCACGGCCCUCACUCCCCCGCUCAGCCCCACUCCACGCCUUCAGUGCCUGCCCCUCCCACUCUGCAGUUCGAGCUCAGCUAUGGCUCCACCCUCUCCCAAAUUCUUCCCUUAUCUAUCCAGGAGGCUGCCACACAGGUUAGAAACUUGGUGUCGGCCUCAUUCACUGCCUGCUGGUCCCACACUGCUAGGAGCCUCUGCUUUUUCUGUCUCCCAAGCUUUCUUGUCAAUUCCCCAAUGAUCCCACCGUGCACUUUCUUUAGACUAGAUAAUGGUACCCAUACAUUCUUGGAGCCUGCACAGGAUCCAGUGUGAGGUUUUACACACAAUGCUCAGUAAACACUUGCUGGCCACACUGACUGAUACCUUGUUGGCUCUGCUCUGUGAUUUCCAACCCAAACCAAGCCAGAGAAAGAAACUUCUUCCCAGGUAAGCAAAACCUGUGCUUGCCAACACCAGGCAAUUUCCAUCCACAGACACCAGGAGGCACCAGAGAACUACACCAUGGGUGGUAUCUGGGGUCAGAGGUUAACUGGGAGAAGACUGCACCUGCGCCGGUCUGCUGUAAGGGGUCAGGUGAUCCCACUUUCCAAAAGGAAAGAACCCCUUUGCAAAAUGGACAUUUUUAAGCCUCACAACACCAGGGCCUGUUCUUGACCAAAACGUAUCAACAAGCCCAGGAGACCAGGUCAGCCACCUACUAUGAAUAAUGCUAAUGUAACUGAUCCCCACCACAGCCUGAGGAGGGAGCUAUUAGAUUGAAUCGUAAGGAACUGCUGUUUGUGGAUCAGCUGAGUAUCAGCAGCCAAGCAUGACUAAUCAAAUCCUGAUCCUUGCUGAAUAUUGAACGAACUGGGGUCUGAGCAGUUGGACUUGCAGGUCUGACAGUAAAGGGUGGACAGAGGAUGAGAAUCCAAACAGGAGGACCAACCAGCAUCACUCCACUCCACUCCAGGGGGAGAUAGCAGAGGUCGUCCUCCAGCCCCCAGUCCCCUAUAACCCGCCACCACAGCCACCAGGGUCACUUACUAGAGCGGAGCAGGGUUCGAUGGGCACUCUUUGGCGUGAUAGGAGGAGGGGCCGGGAUGUUGCUGGUUGAUAUGAUGGCAUUGAAGUAGAGGCCAGAGCCUUCCCGGACGGGGCUGAGAAUGGGGGGUGGUGUGUAAGGGGGGGGCUCAAAGCUCCGCUCAGAGGGGUGGUCAGCAAGGCGCACGGGAGAGCGCAGGUGGCUCUGGUAAGGGGUGAUGUUGGAGUAGACAGGAGGGGCGAUGAAAGUGCCCGCCUUGGUGGGGAUGAUGAGGGGCUCCGGCCGCGGCCGCUGCUUUGGUUUCCGCAUGGAAGGCUCCCCUUCCAACUUGACGUUCAGGUCUUCAGCCUGGAGAAGAAAACAAAAUGAAGAGGCUCGGCCUCUUGUGGCCCCAGAAACCUGUCGUCUUGGAAGACGGAGAAAGCUUCGAAGCUCGGCUUAUUGCCCCACCAGACAGUCACAGGCUAGCAAACCUCCCAGGAGGCCACGGUGAGGGGUUUAGGUUGAGGAAGCUGUCUGUCCUACUUUUACUUUUCUCUCUUUUCUUUUUAAAAAGAUUUAUCUAUUCAUUUCACAUAUGUGGUACACUGUCACUGUCUUCAGACACACCAGAAGGUGGCAUCGGAUGCCCAUUACAGAUGGUUUGUGAGCCACCAUGUGGCUGCUGGGAUUUGAACUCAGGACCUCUGGAACAGCAGUCAGUGCUCUUAACCACGGAGAUAUCUCCUCACUUUUUUUUUUUUUUUUUUUCUGAGACAGGGUUUCUCUGUGUAGUCCUGGCUGUCCUGGAACUCACUUUGUAGACCAGACUGGCCUCGAACUCAGAAAUAAAUCCGCCUGCCUCUGCCUCCCGAGUGAUGGGAUUAAAGGCGUGUGCCACCACGCCCGGCCAUCCUCACCUUUAAUGUGAGACUAGAACAGGAAAUGCCUACCAGACCUGGGAGCUAUGAAGAUUAAACCAACCAGUCAGUAUGUGGAAAUGAAUAAGCACAUUUGUUUUUUGUGGGUGGAGAUCAAAUCCUUGGCCUUGCGUAUGCUGGGCAAACACUACCCUACUGAGCAAAAUCCCCGACCCACAGCACUUCUCCCUCUACCCUGGCGUUCAGAUCCUCGGCCUAGAGAGGGCAGCAGAGCACAGGCGGCCCAGCCUCCUAUGUAGCGAUAUGAGUGGAUAUAUGGAAAUCAAUAUUGUGUGGUUGCAAUAACAGUUCUGUCACUACUGAUGUCCAGAGUCUGUAUGGGAGAGAAGCCCGAGUUUUGUGCCAAAACCUCAGCUAAGGCGUGACAGUCAGAAGAUCUGCUACUAUCAGAAGGUAGCUCACCCAUGUUGUCAGAGGCUGGCCUUCCUAGCUUGCCCUUCUAUAUGGUAUGCCUUAUGAGCGUCUACUGAACAGAAAGCAGGGCCAUCAAGAGAGAGCCUUUCUUAGUCCACGCUAACACUCUCCAAGGGGAAGCAGCAACUACGGCAUCUCUGGUCACAUAGUAAACAAAGGUCGGUCAAGUUGGCUCGAGUGCUGCAGGCUCUCCCCGCUUCAAGGAUCCAGCUCCUUCAAGCUCAUUCCAGCCAAGGGGGGCUCUCCUGCUGAGGCCCGGGCAUGACCUUUUCUUUCUGUGUGUUCUCAUGCUCCUUCUACGAAUUAGGACAAACGGAGAAUGUUCAUCCCUCUGCCGGUAGGGGAACAGUAAUGGCUACACAGGAGGAAACUGCAGAGGAGCCAUGCUGCUUGCGUUUGUCAGUUUGACAUCAACCAAACAGAGCAAGGAGGAGGGGCUCUCAGUUCAGAAACUGCCUCCAUUAGAUAGGCCUGAGGACAAGUCUAUGGGAGAAUCUCCUCAACUUCUAAUUGAUGGAGGAGGCCCAGGCCUCUGUGGGCAAUCUCGCCCCUGGGCAGGUGGUCCUGGGUUCUCUAGGAAGGCAGCUGAGUGAGUCAUGAUGACCAAGGCAGUGAGCAGCAUCCCUCCAUGACCUCUGCAUCAGCUCCUGCCUCCAGGUUCCUGCCUGCGUUCCUGUGCUGACUUCCCUCAUGUCCGACUGUAAACUACAGGAUAAAAUAAACUCUUCCCUCCGCCACGGGUUGCUUUUGGUUUUAGCAUUUAUCACAGCAACAGAAAACUAACUACAUCUGGAGCUAAAGGCCUCCCCCGCUGUGCCAGACAAUCCUAUACAAAACCAGCUCCAACUAUUUACAGGUAAGAGAUUUAAACUGUUCGGAGUAUUUUUGACCUUCAAGUUGUGACAAUGCUAUUGAGACUAUUUUUAAAAGAAAGGAGUGGGGGGGGGGUGGUUGGAGACAGGGAAGAAAGGAAGGAGGGAGGGAAGGAAGGAGGGAGGGAAGGAAGGCAGGGCAGGCAGGCAGGUAGGCAUGCAAAUAGACCAUAUGUAUGUAUUCUGAUGCAAGCCAAACAUAUUUAUGAAUGAAAUGUUACAAUAUGAAAUGCGCCUCAGAAUGAUUCAGGGUCAUGAGAGUACAGAUAAAGCAAGAUUGGCUGUAUUCUGAUAGAAUUAUGAGACCUGGGGGACAACUAUGCAUUCAGUCACGAGACCCUUCUCUGUUUUUAUGAAUGAUUGGAAAUGUCUACAAUACAAAGAAACAUACUAAAUAAACAAAUAACAAAAUAUAACAACACCCCCCCCAUAUCAAGCCACAGAACAAGACCCCAGAAAGCAGACAGUUUGGGGCUAACUCUCCUGCAGGAUCUCUCAGUAAUCUCGGAGCCCUCUGGUAUAGCCAAACUCCUCAAAGGCAAUGACUCAGAAGAUGUGAUCUAGGGUCAGCUCUGCCAUUAGCUGGCCAUCUGACCUCAGGUAAGUCUAAGGCUUGUGGCGAUUUGCGGUUUGGUGAUGGGAACAGAACCUGAGACCAGCACAUGUUAGGCAAGUGCCCUACCAUUUAUUAAGCUACAGAGCCCCCCAGUGCUACAGUUGAAUAUCAUUUGCACCCCAAGUUCACAGUCAUGGGGGUUUAAUCCUCAAAGCCUGACGUUAACAGUAGGAAGAAGGCGGAGACUGAAGUCUGGGUGGUAUUUAGAGGCAAGCAGGUGAUUUAUUGGCGUUACGUAAGGUCAUCAGAGUGGAGCCACCAUUGUCCAGUCCUGUGUGGACCAGAAGAAUACAGACAGAGACACACAGAUGACAGACACGUGUGUUCCCUAUCUUUUUCCCCUAUGAAGCACUGCAAUGAUCUUGGAACUCUGCCUGUCUGCCUGCAGGUUGAUUGCCCCCAGAAAAGGCCCCUGGACCUUGUUUCUCUAGAAUGAGCUAACCUCUUCAUUAUGUUAGCCUGCCUCGGGUGUUUUGUUAGAGUGAGGAGAAGCAGGCUAAUGCAGUCUCUUGCCUUUUCUGGACCCGUUUCCUCAGGUAUGAAAUGGAGACACCGACUAGUUUCUCUGGCUCCUUCCUACCCUCUGUCAAGACAAGCUACCAGGCCUCAACUUCCAGCCUCCAACGUACUUUCCCCACCACAGAGAAGACCUCAGAGAUCCGAUGAGCUUGAGUCAAUUACCUCACAAUGAUCUUAAAGGCCCUGUCUCUUUCCUAUUAUAGAGAACAAGCAUGCAGGCCAGCUCUUCAACAGAAUAAACAGGAAAUCUGAACUGAAUGGAAAAAAACAUUCCCGGAGAUAUCAGAACAAACAGCUUGACAAAGAAUUAAAGACCCAAGACCUGAGGUGGAUGUGGGGUCAAACGGGCAAGCCCAGCCUCUUAGCUGCCUUGUGCCUGCAGGUGAACGUUAUUACUUGGAGAAGCAACUGGGGGGGGGGGGGGGCGCAGCAUGAGGGCUAGGCAGAGUUUGACAGCUCCAAAAACUACCAGAAUAAAAGCUGUGGCUCAGAAUAACAGCAAGUGGCAAACAGGCUUGUCCUUACAUGGAAGAAUGCUUAAAUCACCUCAUCUGUUUCUGAUUAAGUAAAAGUGACUCAGGAUUGCUAGAGCCCUUUGCUGCCCAGCAGAAGUCAAGAGAAACGCUCUUGGGAAGACUCGAAGAGACACAGGCACACAGACACACACAGACAGGCACACCCACUGGCUUUUCAGGUCAAUUUUAACAAGUGGCCAUGAAGUCAUGGCUUCAGAUCUAGCAAAUAAAAUGGCAUAUAAAGAUGAAUUCUUCUAGAUGGCAGGAAGAUGUUAGAGACGGCUUUAAAUUAACGUCCUGGGUGCGAACGUGUUAAUUGAGCACUAUUGAAGAGAAAAAAAGAUUUUACACAAAAAGCAAGCAUGGCUUAGCUGGGAACAGCUUGGUGGCAGAAGUGUUGACAGGAAAACAUCAGGACAUGAGUUUGGAUCCCCAGAAUCCACAUAGAAAAGCCAGAUGUGGUGGCAAACAUCUGUAAUCUCAAGGCUAGGGAGGUGGCGGCUGGGGGAUCCCUGGGGCCCGCUCACCAGCCAGUCUGUGACUGAAGCAUUGAGAGAUGGGUUCUGUGAGAGAUCCCAUCUGAAAAACGCUGGUGGAACAUAACUGAGAAAGACAUCUAACAUUCUCUUCUGGCCAUCACAGGCGCGCACACACACACACACACACACAAGCACGCACAUCUGCACACAUGUGCACACAUAUACACGAACACACAAGUGCUGCGGUUAUUUAUCUACUUUCAAGAUCUAGUAUCUUGAAGAGAAAAAACAAACAGACAAACAAACAAAAACAAACAAAAAAAACAAUAACGGGUCUAAAGAGGUGGCUCAGCAGUUAAGAGAACUGGCUGCUCUUCCAGUGGAUCCAGGUUCAAUUCCCAGCACCCAGAGGGUGACUCCCAACUAACUGUAACUCCGGUCCCAAGGGAACUGAUACCCUCUCUUCCAGCCUCCAUGAGCACCAGGCCCAUAUGUGGUACAUAGACAUCCAUGCAGGCAAAACACCCAUUCACAUACACAAUAAACAAGCAAGCAAGCAAGCAAACAAACCUGAGAAGAGGAAACAGUAGUAGCAGCAGCAGCAGCCAUGCAGUGGUGGCACACACCUUUAAUCCCUCCAGAGGCCGAGGCAGGCAGAUCUCUGUGAGUUCAAGGCCAGUCCUGGUCUUUAGACUAGAUCCAGAAGAGUCGAGACUACACAGAGAAAUCCUGCCUCAAAAACAAACAAAAAGCAAAAAGCAAAAAAGCAGCAGUGGCCAUAUUAAGAGUACCUUUGUGUUGGGAGCUGGUGCUAAUGAACUACCUUCCAUUGCACAAUCCCAACCUUGGUCUGUUAAAAGAAGCUGUGGCUGGGUAGACAGCUCAGCUAGUAAAGUACUUGUCCUGUAAGUGUGAGGACCCGAGUUUGGACCCACGUAAGGUCCAGCAGACAUGGCAUCUCUGCCUGCAAUCCCAGCACUCCUAUGGAAAGUGGAGACAGAGAACCCCGGGAAGCUGGACCAACCAGCCUGAUGACACUCACAGCUGCAAACAGUGACACUAUGGCAAUCAAGCGGGAGGUGCAGAUGAACACAGAGAGUGCCCUCUGACUUCCUCGUGCAGGACGGCACACGUGCUCACGUACAUACGUAUACAUUUUUUUGUUUGUUUGUUUGUUUGUUUUUCGAGACAGGGUUUCUCUGUGUAGCCCUGGCUGUCCUGGAACUCAGAAAUCCACCUGCCUCUGACUCCCGAGAGCUGGGAUUAAAGGCGUGCGCCACCACGCCCAGCUUUUUUUUUUUAAAGGUGGGCUAGUUGGCUCAGUGAGUGAAGGCACUUGCUACCAAGCCUGACAACUUGAAUUCAAUCCCUGGAACCACACAGCGAGAGGAGAAAACCGACUCACACAAAUUGUCCCCCGAUACACACCACGGCAGGCACACACUCACACAUACACUUCCCAAAAAUAAAGCAGAUGCUUUUGUUUUGUUUUGAAGAACAAAACCUAAGAAAAAAAAAAAGUAACAGCGGGGCUGGAGACAUGGCUCAGUAGUUAAGAGCACUGACUGCUCUUCCAGAGGUCCUGAGUUCAAUUCCCAGCAACCACAUGGUGGCUCAUAACUAUCUGUAAUGGGAUCUGAUGCCCUCUUCUGGUGUGUCUGAAGACAGCAAUAGUGUACUCAUAUACAUAAAAUAAAUAUAUAAAUAAUUCUUUUUUUAAAAAAAAGUAACAACAACAACAACAACAAAGUAGAGAGGUGGGGGCAGAGAAAGUUAUUGUAAAGUCAAAGCCAACCUCAGGCUCAUUUUUUCCUUUGGAGACAGGUGCCCUCUAUAAAAUUCAGGUUGGCCUAAAACUCCAAGACCAGGAUGUCCUGAGCUCCGAGAUCCACAGCUUGGGAAUUAAAGGUGUUCGCCACCAGGCCCAGCUCACAGUCAGACAUCUUGCAUACACAGUAUGAUGCUAUGAUUUGAUGUGGUUUGUCCUCCCAGGGUCUACAGAGCAGAGGCCUGGUCCUCAGAGUAGGGUGUUGAAUGGCAGAACUUUAAGCCACUGGGGCCGUAGCCAAGUGGGGAGCAUGGCCUUUGGAAGACACUGCUGCUGCUGAAGAACUGAGUUAGCUCUCAAGCAAGCAAGCUGUUAAAAAGGACAGACCUGGGCUGGAGAGAUGGCUCAGCGGUUAGGAGCACUGAUUACUCUUCCAGAGGUCCUGAUUCUAAUUCCCAGCAACCACACAGUGGCUCACAACCAUCUGAUGUGUCUGAAUAGAGUAACAGUGUACUCACAUACAUGAAAUUAAUAAAUAAAUCUUUUUUUUUUAAAAAAAAAGGACAGGCCUGUGCUUUCUAUCUGUCUGUCUCUGUCAUGCCAUCUGCUAUAUUAUGCAGGAGCCAAGAGGGCCCUUACUAGAGGCUGAAAGUACAAAACCAUUUAAUCUUGGACUUUUAACAUCUAAGACCAUAAUCUGGAUAAACGUCUUUAAAAAAAAAAAAAAAAAAAAACACCAGCUUAUUAUUUUAA
Mus musculus (house mouse) is the source of this 8843-nucleotide long non-coding RNA. RefSeq annotates it as predicted gene, 40476. NCBI's taxonomy places the organism in Eukaryota, Metazoa, Chordata, Mammalia, Rodentia, Muridae. The record is from RefSeq and is a predicted model, not a curated record. The transcript has 2 exons.